RNAcentral lists this ribosomal RNA (455 nucleotides) under Leptodactylus labyrinthicus. Its description in RNAcentral is "partial 16S ribosomal RNA". It matches the Rfam family "Bacterial large subunit ribosomal RNA", at positions 1940 to 2545 of the family's 2925-position model. Lineage: Eukaryota; Metazoa; Chordata; Amphibia; Anura; Leptodactylidae. The record is from RNAcentral.
UAAAGACCGUGCGAAGGUAGCGUAAUCACUUGUUCUUUAAAUGAGGACUAGUAUGAAUGGCACCACGAAGGUUAUACUGUCUCCUCUCUCUAAUCAGUGAAACUAAUCUCCCCGUGAAGAAGCGGGGAUAACUUUAUAAGACGAGAAGACCCUAUGGAGCUUUAAACUAAGAGUCAACUGCCUUUUACCGCUCCAAACUCCAGAGUACUAACUUAUAUCAAAGCUCUCUGAUUUCUAGUUUUAGGUUGGGGUGACCACGGAGUAAAGACCAACCUCCGCAAUGAACAGGGAUCUUCCCUUAACCGAGGACUACAACCCCAAGAAUCAAUACAUUGACAUUAAUUGACCCAAGAACUUGAUCAAUGAACCAAGUUACCCUAGGGAUAACAGCGCAAUCCACUUCAAGAGCCCAUAUCGACAAGUGGGUUUACGACCUCGAUGUUGGAUCAGGCUAU